GGUGAAGCAAACAACCUUACAUGAUGUGAGUGGUCCUUGUGCCCAGUUGAAGCCAUGCACUGUGCACUGGAGAGGCAGAGCAUCCUGCCUUCCACAGCCGUGCACACCAGUCCCUGUGCACAAGUGGCCACCCACCCAGCGAAUCGACGUGGUGUGCUUAUCAAAAUCUGUGUGUCUGUGGGCCAGAGCCAAAUCCAGGCUGUCUGGGACUCUCAGUGAAAAGACCGGCCAUGUGUGCCUCCAGAUGGUACUAGAUCCAGGUGCUAGAACAAGAUGAGCAAGUGAAUCUCUCAUACUUCAGAUCCUUCAAGGAUCUUGAAAAGAGCGCUGGAAUCAAAGGCGAACGCCACCACUGCCCGGCCUUGUUUUGUUUUUAAAGACAGUUUUCGGCACACAGAGAGGCUGUGAGUUAGGACGGGGGUUUCUUGCCGUUGCCACCAUUCUCAUUGACACGUUAUGCUGCACACAGCAGAGCCCCAUCCUGAAUGCCCAGCGGUGCCCACAGCCAGGAGGAGCAUUCGAUGUGUGAUGACUCAUCUCGUGCAUCAGACGCUCUCUAAAGUUCCCACAGAUUAUACCAUGGCUUAGUGAGUGCGAUUCUAAGACAGUUCCAAAAGACUUUUCAAUCCGUGGGAGUUUCAAAGUGGAUUCUCAGACAAACAUGGGGAGGACUGAGGCAGGCUUGGACACGCACAGAAUCAGACAACGAUGGUCCGGAGUUCAAAUCCCUGCAACCACAUGGUGGCUCACAACCAACUGUAAUGAGAUCUGGCGCCCUCUUCUGGAGUGUCUGAAGACAGAUACAGUGUACUUACAUAUAGUAAAUAAAUAAAUCUUAAAAAAAAAAAAAA
Molecule: long non-coding RNA, 851 nt
Filed under: Mus musculus (house mouse)
Lineage: Eukaryota; Metazoa; Chordata; Mammalia; Rodentia; Muridae
Description: cDNA sequence BC023486
Source: RNAcentral